GCUCGUAGUUGGAUUUUUGGUUUGUCCUACCGGCUGGUCCCUUUGGGUCCUUGCUGUGUGGGACAUCCUUUUCUUGGGUGGAAUCCGUGUGGCAUUAGGUUGUCGUGCGGGGGAUGCCCAUCUUUUACUGUGAAAAAAUUAGAGUGUUCAAAGCAGUCUUAUGACGUUGAAUAUAUUAGCAUGGAAUAAUGAUAUAGGACCUUGGUACUAUUUUGUUGGUUUGCGCACUGAGGUAAUGAUUAAUAGGGACAGUUGGGGGUAUUCGUAUUCCAUUGUAAGAGGUGAAAUUCUUGGAUUUUUGGAAGACGAACUACUGCGAAAGCAUUUACCAAGGAUGUUUUCAUUAAUCAAGAACGAAAGUUAGGGGAUCGAAGAUGAUUAGAUACCAUCGUAGUCUUAACC
This 402-nucleotide ribosomal RNA is filed under the name Nitzschia sp. RCC2683. RNAcentral's name for it is "SSU rRNA". It matches the Rfam family "Eukaryotic small subunit ribosomal RNA", at positions 626 to 1031 of the family's 1831-position model. The record is from RNAcentral. Lineage: Eukaryota; Bacillariophyta; Bacillariophyceae; Bacillariales; Bacillariaceae.